This 497-nucleotide ribosomal RNA is filed under the name uncultured bacterium. RNAcentral describes it as "partial 16S ribosomal RNA". It matches the Rfam family "Bacterial small subunit ribosomal RNA", at positions 28 to 507 of the family's 1533-position model. The record is from RNAcentral.
GAUGAACGCUGGCGGCGUGCCUAGUACAUGCAAGUCGAGCGAACAGACGAGGAGCUUGCUCCUCUGACGUUAGCGGCGGACGGGUGAGUAACACGUGGAUAACCUACCUAUAAGACUGGGAUAACUUCGGGAAACCGGAGCUAAUACCGGAUAAUAUAUUGAACCGCAUGGUUCAAUAGUGAAAGACGGUUUUGCUGUCACUUAUAGAUGGAUCCGCGCCGCAUUAGCUAUUUGGUAAGGUAACGGCUUACCAAGGCAACGAUGCGUAGCCGACCUGAGAGGGUGAUCGGCCACACUGGAACUGAGACACGGUCCAGACUCCUACGGGAGGCAGCAGUAGGGAAUCUUCCGCAAUGGGCGAAAGCUUGACGGAGCAACGCCGCGUGAGUGAUGAAGGUCUUCGGAUCGUAAAACUCUGUUAUUAGGGAAGAACAAAUGUGUAAGUAACUAUGCACGUCUUGACGGUACCUAAUCAGAAAGCCACGGCUAACUACGUG